ACAGGCCCUCGGGGUGUGUGGGACCAUGUCCAGCCCUCUCCAGUGUAUCCACAACCCCGACCUUUGAUGAGAACUCAGCCGUCCAGCUGCAAAGGAAAAGCCAAGUGAGACGGGCUCUGGGACCAUGGUGACCAGGCUCUUCCCCUGCUCCCUGGCCCUUGCCAGCUGCCAAGCUGAAAAGAAGCCUCAGCUCCCACACCGCCCUCCUCGCCGCCCUUCCUCGGGAGUCACUUCCACUGGUGGACCACGGGCCCCCAGCCCUGUGUCGGCCUUGUCUGUCUCAGCUCAACCACGGUCUGACGCCAGAGCCCACUUCCAUCCUCUCUGGUGUGAGGCACAGCGAGGGCAGCAUCUGGAGGAGCUCUGCAGCCUCCACACCUACCACGACCUCCCAGGGCUGGGCUCAGGAAAAACCAGCCACUGCUUUACAGGACAGGGGGUUGAAGCUGAGCCCCGCCUCACACCCACCCCCAUGCACUCAAAGAUUGGCUUUUACAGCUACUUGCAAUUCAAAAUUCAGAAGAAUAAAAAAUGGGAACAUACAGAACUCUAAAAGAUAGACAUCAGAAAUUGUUAAGCUUUUUCAAAAAAUCAGCAACUCCCCAGCGUGGUCAAGGGUGGACACUGCAUGCUCUGGCAUGAUGGGAUGGCGACCGGGCAAGCUUUCUUGCUCGAGAUGUUCUGUUGCUUGAGAGCUGUCGCUUUGUUAAGAUAUAAAAAGGGGUUUCUUUUUGUCUUUCUGUAAGGUGGACUUCCAGCUUUUGAUUGAAAGUCCUAGGGUGAUUCUAUUUCUGCUGUGAUUUAUCUGCUGAAAGCCCAGCUGGGGUUGUGCAAGCUAGGGACCCAUUCCUGUGUAACAUAAUGCCUGCACCAAUGCUAAUAA
RNAcentral lists this long non-coding RNA (883 nucleotides) under Pan troglodytes (chimpanzee). RNAcentral's name for it is "long non-coding RNA NONPTRT010571". The record is from RNAcentral. Lineage: Eukaryota; Metazoa; Chordata; Mammalia; Primates; Hominidae.